CCUGUGUUUGAACCAUUUAUGCUGAUAUACAUUCAGCUCAACAACAUACCAGCAGUUUGUGUUCAUUUACAGCAACAGUAAUCAUUUUAAUUCUUUGAGAUGGGACUAGGCAGAGUUUUGAGUUACUUUACUCUAGCAAUCUUCAUUCAAUAUUCCUGCAGUCAGACACUGAUCGAGUCUGAUUCAGUCAUCAUCAAACCUGAUCAGUCUCAUAAACUGACCUGCACAGCAUCUGGAUUGGACUUUAGUGGCUAUUACAUGGCUUGGAUCAGACAGGCUCCUGGAAAAGGACUGGAAUGGGUUGUAGCAAUGCACUCUAGCAGUUACAUAUAUUACUCCAGUGCAGUUAAAGGCCGCUUUACCAUCUCCAGAGACGACAGUAAGCUGCAGGUGUAUCUGCACAUGAACAGCGUGAGGACAGAAGACACAGCUGUGUAUUACUGCGCCCGACACACACAGUGAUACUUCUCCUUAGACAUCAGUACAAAAACACAUGCUUGCUAUAGUCACAUGACAAGCUCACAUUUUCAUAAGCAGUGUAUUCAUGGAGCUCAAAGAACCAAAAUGUUUUGACUUUUACUGCAUGUGGCUUAUUGUGAACAUUGUCUGGACAUUUAUGCUGGUAUAAGAUUACUUAGGUCAGAGUCAGUUCUGAAUAUAUAUAUAUAUAUGGUACAGAGGGUAAUGUUGCCACCUCACAGCUUCAGGGCCCUCGGUUUGAUCCUGGUCAUACAAAAUGCUCCACAUUAUAAUUCUUACUUUUUUUACUUAGUACUUUAGCUCUAUUUGAGUUUUUUUUUUUAACAAGUUGCUUUAAAAUCACUUCUUUUAGAUCUGAGUAUUUUGAAAACUGGACCUUUGUGCCUCUAGAGGGCAGUCUGUGCAAACUCAACCAUCUCAGUCUGUUGCUAUCUGCACUUUUAGGCCCCGUCUCUUUUCACAGGCUGCUAUGACUGCAUCCAGCACCAUGACUCUCAGAUUAAACUCCAGGAAGAUAAUUGCUUGUUGUUGCUUAUAUCAUUACUUUUGCAGAGUCUUGUGAGACAAAAUAUAAUUAAAUAAAUGCAAUGCUAUUC
Pangasianodon hypophthalmus (striped catfish) is the source of this 1076-nucleotide non-coding RNA. Lineage: Eukaryota; Metazoa; Chordata; Actinopteri; Siluriformes; Pangasiidae. The record is from the annotation of a RefSeq genome assembly.